UCCCCACCCUAUCCUGAAGCUUGUCAAGGCCACCAGAGACCUGCUCCCUGUGCCGUCUCAGACUGGACUCUGGGGUCUCCUGUGCCUCCUCCGAUUCUGCACCUCAGUGCAGCCUCUGGCCUGGCUGCACUCUGAGGAGCUCCCUGUGGCCACCGAGCCCUUGGAACGUGGCCAGUUCCAUUCUCAAACUGCUGUGAGUGCAAAGCUCAUGCUGGAUUUUGAAGAUUUGAUUGCUGGCCAGGCAUGGUGGCUCACUCCUGUAAUCCCAGCACUGGGAGGCCAAGGCACAAGGAUGGCUCGAGGCCGGGUGGUUGAGGCUGCCGUGAGCUGUAAUGGUGCCACUGCCCUCCAGCAUGGAUGACAGAGACCCCGCCUCUAAAAACAAUUAAUUAAUUACAAUUAAAUCAGUAAAAAAAAAUUUUUAAUUAAAAUUUAAAAAAUGGAUUGUUAAAACAAA
Molecule: long non-coding RNA, 457 nt
Filed under: Pongo abelii (Sumatran orangutan)
Lineage: Eukaryota; Metazoa; Chordata; Mammalia; Primates; Hominidae
Description: lincRNA
Source: RNAcentral